Molecule: small RNA, 123 nt
Organism: Rhizobium sp.
Lineage: Bacteria; Pseudomonadati; Pseudomonadota; Alphaproteobacteria; Hyphomicrobiales; Rhizobiaceae
Rfam family: Alphaproteobacterial ar14
About the family: Smr14C2 was renamed NfeR1 (Nodule Formation Efficiency RNA) highly expressed in salt stress and during the symbiotic interaction on legume roots.
Source: Rfam
GGCUGUCGCGAGCACACCCCUCCUCCUCCCAAAUGCUCGUGACGACGAUUGGCGGCAUCCCCCUCCUCCCAAGUCGCCAGUCAAUAUCGAGCCCGGUGCAUCCUCCCGCACCGGGCUUUUUCG